Molecule: non-coding RNA, 178 nt
Filed under: marine eukaryotic metagenome
Description: Lysine riboswitch
Rfam family: Lysine riboswitch aptamer
About the family: Riboswitches are metabolite binding domains within certain messenger RNAs that serve as precision sensors for their corresponding targets. Allosteric rearrangement of mRNA structure is mediated by ligand binding, and this results in modulation of gene expression.
Source: RNAcentral
AGGGUAGAGGCGCAGUCCUUCAGAAGUAACCGGCGCAAGGAUACGGAACCAUAUUCGCCGCGAGAAAGGGAAGGUCUGCCGAAGUUUCAGACCUGUUCCGUAACGGGUUGAAGCUGGUCCAAACGGAUAAUAUCUGUUGGACUGUCACAGGGCAGACAGAUCCUGUGGAGCGCUCUCU